RNAcentral lists this ribosomal RNA (539 nucleotides) under uncultured bacterium. Its description in RNAcentral is "bacterial SSU rRNA". It matches the Rfam family "Bacterial small subunit ribosomal RNA", at positions 777 to 1314 of the family's 1533-position model. The record is from RNAcentral.
AAUAGAUACCCGGGUAGUCCACGCCGUAAACGAUGAGUGCUAAGUGUUGGGGGGUUUCCGCCCCUCAGUGCUGCAGCUAACGCAUUAAGCACUCCGCCUGGGGAGUACGGUCGCAAGACUGAAACUCAAAGGAAUUGACGGGGGCCCGCACAAGCGGUGGAGCAUGUGGUUUAAUUCGAAGCAACGCGAAGAACCUUACCAGGUCUUGACAUCCCGGUGACCACUAUGGAGACAUAGUUUCCCCUUCGGGGGCAACGGUGACAGGUGGUGCAUGGUUGUCGUCAGCUCGUGUCGUGAGAUGUUGGGUUAAGUCCCGCAACGAGCGCAACCCUUAUUCUUAGUUGCCAUCAUUCAGUUGGGCACUCUAAGGAGACUGCCGGUGAUAAACCGGAGGAAGGUGGGGAUGACGUCAAAUCAUCAUGCCCCUUAUGACCUGGGCUACACACGUGCUACAAUGGACGGUACAAACGGUUGCCAACCCGCGAGGGGGAGCUAAUCCGAUAAAACCGUUCUCAGUUCGGAUUGUAGGCUGCAACUCG